This 497-nucleotide ribosomal RNA is filed under the name uncultured bacterium. RNAcentral's name for it is "partial 16S ribosomal RNA". It matches the Rfam family "Bacterial small subunit ribosomal RNA", at positions 28 to 507 of the family's 1533-position model. The record is from RNAcentral.
GAUGAACGCUGGCGGCGUGCCUAAUACAUGCCAGUCGAGCGAACAGAUGAGGAGCUUGCUCCUCUGACGUUAGCGGCGGACGGGUGAGUAACACGUGGAUAACCUACCUAUAAGACUGGGAUAACUUCGGGAAACCGGAGCUAAUACCGGAUAAUAUAUUGAACCGCAUGGUUCAAUAGUGAAAGACGGUUUUGCUGUCACUUAUAGAUGGAUCCGCGCCGCAUUAGCUAGUUGGUAAGGUAACGGCUUACCAAGGCAACGAUGCGUAGCCGACCUGAGAGGGUGAUCGGCCACACUGGAACUGAGACACGGUCCAGACUCCUACGGGAGGCAGCAGUAGGGAAUCUUCCGCAAUGGGCGAAAGCCUGACGGAGCAACGCCGCGUGAGUGAUGAAGGUCUUCGGAUCGUAAAACUCUGUUAUUAGGGAAGACCAAAUGUGUAAGUAACUAUGCACGUCUUGACGGUACCUAAUCAGAAAGCCACGGCUAACUACGUG